RNAcentral lists this ribosomal RNA (1067 nucleotides) under uncultured organism. RNAcentral's name for it is "bacterial SSU rRNA". It matches the Rfam family "Bacterial small subunit ribosomal RNA", at positions 364 to 1444 of the family's 1533-position model. The record is from RNAcentral.
UUGGACAAUGGGGGAAACCCUGAUCCAGCCAUGCCGCGUGAGUGAAGAAGGCCUUCGGGUCGUAAAGCUCUUUCGCACGUGACGAUGAUAACGGUAACGUGAGAAGAAGCACCGGCUAACUUCGUGCCAGCAGCCGCGGUAAUACGAAGGGUGCAAGCGUUGUUCGGAUUUACUGGGCGUAAAGCGCAUGUAGGCGGUAUAUCAAGUCAGAGGUGAAAAGCCCAAGGCUCAACCUUGGAAUUGCCUUUGAUACUGAUAAACUAGAGUACGAUAGAGGAUAGCGGAAUUUCCAGUGUAGAGGUGAAAUUCGUAGAUAUUGGAAGGAACACCAGUGGCGAAAGCGGCUAUCUGGAUCGUAACUGACGCUAAGAUGCGAAAGCGUGGGUAGCGAACAGGAUUAGAUACCCUGGUAGUCCACGCCGUAAACGAUGAGUGCUAGAUGUUGGGAACAUUUGUUUUCAGUGUCACAGUUAACGCGUUAAGCACUCCGCCUGGGGAGUACGGCCGCAAGGUUAAAACUUAAAGGAAUUGACGGGGACCCGCACAAGCGGUGGAGCAUGUUGUUUAAUUCGAAGAUACGCGAACAACCUUACCUACUCUUGACAUCCCGAUCGCGAAUUUCAGAGAUGAUUUUCUUCAGUUUGGCUGGAUCGGUGACAGAUGCUGCAUGGUUGUCGUCAGCUCGUGUCGUGAGAUGUUGGGUUAAGUCCCGCAACGAGCGCAACCCUUACUGUUAGUUGCCAUCAGGUUAUGCUGGGAACUCUAGCAGAACUGCCGGUGAUAAGCCGGAGGAAGGUGGGGAUGACGUCAAAUCAGCAUGGUUCUUACGAGUAGGGCCACAAACGUGCUACAAUGGUAACUACAAAAAGCGGCAAACUUGCAAGAGUGAGCUAAUCUUUUAAAAGUUAUCUCAGUUCGAAUUGUCCUCUGCAACUCGAGGGCAUGAAGUUGGAAUCGCUAGUAAUCGCAGGUCAGCAUACUGCGGUGAUACGUUCCCGGGUCUUGUACACACCGCCCGUCAUCUCAUGGAAGUUGAUUUUACCCUAAGUCGGUGAGCCAAUCUGGCA